GGCCCCAGAGACCCAUGGGCUUUCUGUUCCUCUUUCUAGCCACUCCCACGCUCUUGGUCCUUUGGGGUUCUUGUACUCACCCGCAGUGGGUGUGGAACAGGACUCCUCAACACCCCACUUCCUCCCGCCUCUGAAGAGAGAGAUGUCCCAGGCCCACCUCCUGGGGCCUGCCUAGCACCGGAGACUCUCUUCAGUUUGCCUGUUGAGGAGAAGCAGAAGUCAACCACACUUGACUUCAACAGAGCCUGUAAAGCUGCGGGAGCUUAGGGUUUAUAAAGAGAGACCACAUGUCUUUAAGAAACUUGCCAAGACCGUGUAGGAGGAAAAACCCCAACUCACGGAUGACAACACUUGUCUCUUGGAUCCUAUCUUAUCAUUGGGCAAGAAAAAGCCGAUUUCUAAUUCCCUCCCAACUCCACAUUUCUCAGUCCUGCUCUAACUGAUCUGUCUGGAACCUUGUGAGGAAGCAGAAAAAUAAGAUCACACUUCUGGCCCUUCCCAUUACCGUGGUGGUUCGACACUUACGGGGUGCUAGACACUGCGGAAGGCAGCGGGAACUCAGCGGACUCUCACUUCCCCUUCAGAGCUGAGACCAAGUUGAAGGCUCAGGGCAGAGAUUGCCUCCUUCUGUGAGCCUGACACAAGGACCAUCCCAAGAGCCGUCCCUCACUGGCCUGCACCUCAGUCCUGGAGCCCAUUUCCUCUCCGUGAUGUCAACCGGUCCUCGUGGCACCCGGGAGGAGGAGGACAGAGGUUCUCAUCCCCACUCUCAGAGCACAGCUGGGCUUUGGCUGAGCGGUACUUACACACGGUUUCAUGACUCCAAACCCAGUGCUCUCUUUGCGCUCACUGUGUUUCCCAACCUUCUGUCAUACAAGGCCUCCCUCUGACUUUUGCCCUAUCCCCAGACCACCUGUACCACUGUUAAUGCAUUGUUCAAGGUGGGUGGCCCAUUAUUUUUUCCCUCAGUUAAAUGGCUUUGUUUAAAAAUGAAAUUUGCUAUCAUUGCCC
This 1011-nucleotide long non-coding RNA is filed under the name Equus caballus (horse). RNAcentral describes it as "lncRNA (ENSECAG00000053440.1)". Lineage: Eukaryota; Metazoa; Chordata; Mammalia; Perissodactyla; Equidae. The record is from RNAcentral.